UCGCGCCAUUGGUAGCCUCGAAAGGCAGCAACCGGGAAGAGGGAAGAGAGAUGGGAGAGAACGCGAGAGCACGGGCAAAACUAGGGUUUCGGGUUGUCUCGCGGAGGCGGAGAGGCCGCAAUCCCUCGUGCUCUCCGAUCCUCCGGAGCCCCCGCCGGCCACGGGGAGCUCGCCGAUCCGAUCAACCGGGGUUCCGGCCUCCGGCCCCGCUUCGGCGGGAGGUUUACUCGUAUCCGCUUCCCCUACCGUCUCGUCUUUGCAUUUCCGCUCGCUUCGAUUUCGCCGUGGCUUGAUGCCUCUGAUCUCUCUCGUUUUGCUUGGAUUUUGCCGUUGGCCCGAUGAUGAUUGCGAUUUAGACCCUCGCGAAUCGAUCGAUUGGUUGGUUGGUUGAUGGAUGGAUAGAUAGAUCGGCUCGGAUUUGAGGCUCGCCCUUUGCAUCUGCAAGCGGGUUGAGGUCCCGAGAAUGGCUAGUACGGCGUUGGCUCCUCGAUGAUCUGGGCGCUGAAACAUGCUGGGGGGGUCGGAGAGGCACUGACAUGUGGGCCCGCCCACGCGGCAGGAACAUGGUUUACUGCUGCUUCUGCUAUACUAUAAAACCUGCUCUUUUUCUUUCUUUUUUCUCCUCUUCCUCCUCCUCCUCCUCCUCUCUUGCCACCGCUGCGGCGGGUCGUCGUCGUCGUCGUGCAUCAUCAUCAUCGUCCUCUUCUGCCGUACCCUUGAGACAUGCUCCAGUGCCAGCGUCGAGGGCCGCCGCAUUAGCCUAAGAUGGAAAACGAAGUUGUGAAAUCUGAGGGCCAAUUGGUAAUACAGACCUUUCUGUCUUCUCGUUUGGAUCUUUCGGUUUUGUUGCUUGCCUCUCUGACUCUCUGUGUCUACUUAAUAGCCUGAUGUAAUGCACGAAAUUGGUCCAUUGCCGUGUAAACAGCACGCACGUAAUGUAUCAUGGUUGGAGAUGUCUGAGUGAUUGAUCUUCAGAACGGUUCACAUCUCUCCACUUGUCUAUUGCUAGCAAUUGCAAAAAUAUCUCAACUUAUGCUACUACAUUGUUUCUGUUUUUUGUGUUAACAUGCCUCGUCGAGUUCUAAUUUUGAUUUACAAAUUGGAUGCCCGUCUCUUGUGUCAUCUUGAAAUGCAGAGGUGCAUUUAUGUCUUAAGCCAGAGGGCAUUAGGAUCAUACUGUUACAUACGUUCUGGUUCAUCCUUGUCUCAUUUUGUAUUCCUUAUUAUUUUUUAUCAUCUCCCGUAUAAUGUGAUGAAUCAAGAGCCUGCAAUAGGCAUGAUCUUGACUACCAUCUGGUUCAUAUUAUUUUUUUUCUUACCAUGUUGCUUUGGUUGGUAGUAGCAUGAUGAUGCAUUGCCCAAUGAUGAAAACUUACUAUGCAGAGAUGGCACAUGGUUUCCUCCUCCUCCUCGGCUCCUCCUCCCCCCUCUAUCUCCCCCCUCAUGUGACAGCAGCAGCAGCAGCAGUUGGGAAUUGCCAUCAAAAGGAUUUGUCUGGAAUACAGGUACCGCUAAGUUUUAGCGGGAAAAUCAGAUACCAUAUAUGUUGCCAUAAAUGAAAUGCAUAAGUGAGUCUUGAGGGCAUAACAUUCCUUGCAAAUGCACAAGCUGUAUGUUUUUUCGAUAUUUUUAGUCUACUAUUGCCCAUUUUACCACCUCAACUUCCUGGUCAACCCCAAACUACAUGUUCAAGAACUAUCAAAGUUAUUGCAACUCAUCCCAUUGCUGAAACCAAUCCGGUGAAAUGCGUACAAAUGGACGUAGUGGACCCGGUGAAAUGCUCAAUUAGCACAAUAAAAAUUUGCAUGGCUCCUCACAUCAUACUCAAAACACACCUAGGCAGCAAAGAAACUAUUUACGUGGGUACAAAUAUUGAAUGGUCACUGUUUUUUAACUUGCGGACUUGAGCAAGAGUUGAGGGGGUUAAUCAAAAUGGACUUAGUACUUUCAAAAUUUUGUUCCCUGCAAGUUUGAAUAUGUUGGCUUGAUGAGAGGCUUUUCAUUUGCACUUCCUUCAGUACAUUUUUGCUGUGGUUUGUGUAGGUUUGUUCUGUUAAACUGUUUAUUGUGUUUCUACUCUAACCUUUCUGUUUGUUGCUCGGCCAGUAUUUUCGUCUCAUUUUUAACUGAUAGACACCCAGCAGAGCUGACUCUUUAACUCUUCCCAGAUGACGGUUCCUAGAUACUCUUAUUGACUUAUUCUAAGUCAGCUUGUGUUUGUGCUCCAAGUGAUAAGUUCGACACCUUUUCUAGGCUAGAGCUUCUGAGGGUUUUCAUUCUGCAGAUUGACUAGUUUAUUACUUUAUUUACACUGUGAUAAGUUCAUUUGUUAUUUUUUUCAUUGCCAUGUUAUUUAUUUUGUUCAAGAAACCAGAGUGUAUUGAAGUGGUACCUUUUGGACUUCAUGACAGUCGUCCAUAUCAUAAAACCAAAUCACUAUCCACUUAUGAGCCAUGAUAUUUUGAGAAAUAACUCAUUUGCUUCCUUUCUUAAUCCCCUUCAUACAAUCAAUCAAGAACGUGACUUCCCCUCUUUUUUAUGACUUUCCUUUUUAAAAAAGGAAAAUUCUCACUUGCACGAUUUCCCCUCCUUUUCUCUUGGUUGAAGUUUUCCUUGUUCAAGACCACGUAGUCAUAUAUGUUUCCCCACCUUUGCAGAGCAUCUGGAUUUGAUUCUGAAUUGGACCAAUGUUUUAUUUGAUUCAGACUAGCAAUUUCACCUAAAUUUAGUACCUUCUGCAGUAGAAUAACAGGUACCAUGCUUUGAUUUAGUUGAUUUAAAUGCCCAGUGAUGAAACAUGAUUUACAGAGAUGGUGUUUUGCUUCCUGGAAGUGCUGUAUGAUCUGUAUCCAUCCAUCCGUCCUCUCUCUCUCUCUCUCUCUCUCUCUCUCUCUCUCUCUCCUCUCUCUCUCUCUCUCUCUCUCUCGUACAUGUCAUCAUUUGGAAUGGUUCAUUCCAAUGAUUGUGCAUGUGUAGCUAGCUAGCUUAACCUUCCAUCAUCAUUCCAGGAAUUCAUUCAGCCUCACAUUUCCUUGCUCACAAUUUGAGGCUGUCUCCUGCACCAUCAAUGGAUACUGUGUAUGUGAGUUCUGAGGGCAUUAUUUUUCUUAUGGCACGUUUGCCAGUUCGUUUGAGAUGAGUCCAUCCAUGGAUGGUCCUUUUUCUGGUGCACCUGUCUCUUAUGCAUUUCGCUUGUUUCGUUUUCACUGUGGCAUGGUGCCUCUGAUCUCUCUCGUUUUUGCCUGGAUUCGCCAUUGGCCCAAUGAUGAUUGUGACUAAGACCCUCGUGAAUCGAUAAAUCGAUUGGUUGAUGGAUGGAUGGAUAGAUAGAUCGGCUCGGACUUGAGCUCUAAUGGGGUUGCCCUUUGCAUCUGCAAUGGGUUGAGCUGAAAAUGGCUAGUGUGGCGUUGGCUCCUCAAUGAUCUGGGCGCUGAAGCAUGCUCAGGGGUUGGAGAAACACUGACAUGUCGGUCCGCGCAAUUGGCAGGACCAUGGUUUCUGCUGCUGCUUCUGCUUUGGAAAAGUAGCUCUCUUUCUUUCUUUUUCUCUUCUUCUUCUUCGUCCUCCUCCGCUCCUGCCACUGCUGUGGCAGUUGUCGUCGUUGUCGUCGUCAUCGAUCAUCAUCAUCCAGUUCUGCCGUUCCCUUGAGACAUGCUUCAGUGCCAGCAUUGAGGGCUGCCGCAUUAGCCAGCCUAAGAUGAAAAACAAAGUUGUGAAAUCAGAGGGCCAUUUGGUAAUAUCGACCUUUCAAUCUUUUUGUUUGGAUCUUUUAGUUUUGUUGCUUGCCUCUCAGACUCUGUGUCUCCUUAAUAGCCUGAUGUAACUCCCAGAAAUUUACUAUCUGACGGAGUUGGUCCAUUGCCGUGCAAACAAGUACACACUUAAUGUAUCAUGGCUGCAGAUGUAGUGAUUGAUGUUCAGAACAAUUCAAAUAUCUCCACCUUGUCUAUUCCUCGUAGAUUCAAAAUACCUCAACUUAUGCCACUACAUUGUUUAUCUCUUUUUUGUGUUAACAUAUCUUGUCGAUAUUCCUUCUCUCAUCUAGUUUACCACCUUUUUUUAUUACCUCCUGUAUAAUACGAUGAAUCAAGAGCCUGCGAUAGCCAUGGUCUUGAUUACCAGCAGGUUCAUAUUUCCAUAUUUUUACAAUGUUGCUUUGCUUGGUAGUAGCAUAUCUAAAUGCAUUGCCUAAUAAUAAAAACUUAAUAUGCAUAGAUGGCACUUGGUCUUCUCUCCUCCCUCAAAAUCCAUGCACGAGUAGGGAAUUUGUCAUCGAAGGAUCUGUUUGGAAUGCAGGUACUGCAUAAGUUUUAGCGGGCAAAUCACUGACCAUAUAUGCCAUCAAUGAAAUGCAUCAGAGAGACUUGCCAUCAAUAAAGUUUCCCUGCACAUGCACAAGUUUUUCACCAAGGUUUAGCACUACGUAGGUGCCAUGCUUUGAUUUGAAGCCCAAUGAUGAAACUUGAUAUACAGAGAUGGUGUUUGGCUUUCUGGGAAGUGCUGUACCCAUCUCUCUCUCUCUCUCGCUCUGUGCGUCUCUCUCUCUCUCUCUCUCUCAAAUAUGGUAACGGAAAUGGUUUGAGCAUUUUUCCGACCGUUUUCAUCCCCAACUCGCACACAUCAUCAUUCCCAUGCCUGCAUAUUUGCAGCUACCAACCUGUGCCCUCAAAUAUAAGGCUGUGUACUUUACCAUCAUCCCAGGAAGUGGUUUAGCAUCACAGAUCCUUCACACAAUUUGAGGCUGUCUCCCGCACCAUCGAUGGAUAUUUGUAUGAGCUCUGAGGGCAUUCUUGUUACCAUUUUCAUGUUUGCUUGAGAUGAGUCCAUCUGUGGAUCGUCCUCCCUGGUAUUUAUGUAAAAAUUCGUAAUAUGUGAUGCUCUCUUUAUCUCGUUUAUAUUUGAGAAGCUUUUGCCGAUGAUCAUGUGGCCAUGGUUUAGAGAGAUUAGAACUGGCCUACCGUUAAUGUGAUUUUUAUUUUUCGUCAAAUGUAUAAUCUCGCAGAGGACUCCUGAGGAAACUAUAUAUCAAGUCUGUGCGUUCCUUUUCA
This is a non-coding RNA of Oryza sativa Japonica Group (Japanese rice), 5048 nucleotides long. The record is from RefSeq and is a predicted model, not a curated record. NCBI's taxonomy places the organism in Eukaryota, Viridiplantae, Streptophyta, Magnoliopsida, Poales, Poaceae.